Molecule: unclassified non-coding RNA, 225 nt
Filed under: plant metagenome
Description: partial contains small subunit ribosomal RNA, internal transcribed spacer 1, and 5.8S ribosomal RNA
Source: RNAcentral
UCUCCGUUGGUGAACCAGCGGAGGGAUCAUUACAGGACUCGCAAGACUCCUACAACCCUGUGACCUUAACUAUAAGCACGUGACUUCGGCGGGUGUCUCGGAGGGGGUUCUCCCUCCCCGAGACGCUAAACCCGCCGGCAGCCUACUAUACUCUGUCUCUUUGCGUUGACAUCUCGAGUACAAUCAAACAAGUUAAAACUUUCAACAACGGAUCUCUUGGUUCUG